GGAGAGGCCGCAGGGGGAGAGGUCACAUGGGGGAGAGGCUACACAGGGGAGAGGCCGCAUGUUGGGGAGAUGGCCCCUGCGGGAAGACUCCGAGGCAGUCUGCUGCAGCUCCUUCCGGCUGAAUCCGGUUCAGGAAGUAAAACCAGCCCUGUGUAGAGUCCCCAGAAUGUCACCUCCGAGCAGAGCCUGUGACAACUGUCAACUGUGAAGCUGUGGCGUGGGUUGCUACUGAAGCUCUGAAGUCAGCGAGGACACAGCAUGUUUGUUCUAGACCGUUUGGCUGCUGGAGGAAGCUGUACAUGCACACACUCGCCUCACCACCCUGCGAGUCCACAGGCCCCUCCCCGGAGUCACCUCCAGGUAAUGGGGGCCCUGCGUCGGGACUUGCUCUCUGGGGCGCUGAGAUGCUCUACAAUGAGCCGUGCUGCAGUGCACGGCCGCCCGACUGUGCACCCGCAACGGGGAACUGAACGCUGCAGGAAGUACAUCUCCAAGAUGUUCUUUAAGAGGCUUAGGGUCCCUGGAAGACCCUCGCCCACACCCAGCGUGGAGCGUUGUUGCUCACGUGGCCGCACCUCUCGGGAUGGCCGUGGGUCUCCGUGAUGGGCAGGCGAAUGGAACCACAGGUGCUUCCUGUCCUGGUCACAAAGUCAGAGUGGCUGGGCCAAGUGUCCUGAGAAGAGUCACCUCCUGGGAUCCCAUCAGCCUGGCCAUAGCAGAACACCCAGACAGGGGCCCAUCCCCGAGGCUCAACUCAAUGCAUGCAGCCACUGUAGAAAAGUCUGGAAAGUAGUUCUUCAACCGACUAGACAUGGUGAGCCCAAAACCCAGCCAUGACACUCCUAGGCAUCUGCCCCAGAAGAAUGAAAGCAUCCAUCCCCUGCAAACUCAUCCUUACACAGCAGCGUGACUCCAGAUGGCCAAAGGCAGAAACACCCCAAACGUCCAUCAGUGGACAAACGGGCAGACGCAAUGCACUGUCUGUACCGUGGGAUGUCACUCAGCCAUAAGAAGGAAAGAAUCCAGUGUGGAUGAGCCUUGGAACCACGGUGCUGCGUGAUCCCGUAACACAUGGCCAGAACAGACACGGCCCGGAACCUGAGGCCGGGAGGAUGCGUGCGGGUGGCGGGGAGACAGAGGGGCGAUGGCUAAGGAAUACCCAGUUUCUUUUGGACUGAAAAUGGUCUAAAGUUGACUGUGGUGAUGGCUGUACAACUCUGAAUAUGCUGAAAACUCGAAUUACACACUUCAGUUGGGCGAACUGUACUCCAUGUGAAUUACCUCUCGAUGGUUCUCUCCUGGGCUCAGGCGCUUCUCCCACCUUGGCCUCCUGAGUAGCUGGAACUACCACUCAUGUGCGGAAAUAAAACAACUCAGUCUCAAAAAAAACUCAACUCAAAACUCAGUCUCAAAAAUAAAAAAAUAAAAAAUAAAGUAAAAGAGGCUACCAA
This is a long non-coding RNA of Pan troglodytes (chimpanzee), 1451 nucleotides long. RefSeq lists it as uncharacterized. The record is from RefSeq and is a predicted model, not a curated record. The transcript is spliced from 3 exons. NCBI's taxonomy places the organism in Eukaryota, Metazoa, Chordata, Mammalia, Primates, Hominidae.